Molecule: ribosomal RNA, 516 nt
Filed under: uncultured bacterium
Lineage: Bacteria
Description: bacterial SSU rRNA
Rfam family: Bacterial small subunit ribosomal RNA
Source: RNAcentral
GAACGCUGGCGGCGUGCCUAAUACAUGCAAGUCGAACGGUCUUUCUAUGGAAGCUUGCUUCCACUGAGAAGAUAGUGGCGAACGGGUGAGUAACACGUGAGUAACCUGCCCAUAAGAGGGGGGAUAACAUCCGGAAACGGGUGCUAAUACCGCAUAGUUUUCUUGAUCGCAUGAUCGGGAAAGGAAAGACGGCCUUUGUGCUGUCGCUUAUGGAUGGACCCGCGGCGUAUUAGUUAGUUGGUGAGGUAACGGCUCACCAAGACGAUGAUACGUAGCCGACCUGAGAGGGUGAUCGGCCACAUUGGGACUGAGACACGGCCCAAACUCCUACGGGAGGCAGCAGUAGGGAAUCUUCCGCAAUGGACGAAAGUCUGACGGAGCAACGCCGCGUGAGUGAAGAAGGUUUUCGGGAAUCGUAAAACUCUGUUGUCAGAGAAGAACAAGUUGGAGAGUAACUGCUCCAGCCUUGACGGUAUCUGACCAGAAAGCCACGGCUAACUACGUGCCAGCAGCAGC